UACGUAGGGUGCAAGCGUUGUCCGGAAUUAUUGGGCGUAAAGAGCUCGUAGGCGGUCUGUCGCGUCGGAUGUGAAAAUCCAGGGCUCAACCCUGGACCUGCAUUCGAUACGGGCAGACUAGAGUUCGGCAGGGGAGACUGGAAUUCCUGGUGUAGCGGUGAAAUGCGCAGAUAUCAGGAGGAACACCCGUGGCUAAGGCGGCUCUCUAGUACGGUACUGACGCUGAGACGCGAAAGCGUGGGGAGCGAACAGG
This 253-nucleotide ribosomal RNA is filed under the name uncultured bacterium. Its description in RNAcentral is "partial 16S ribosomal RNA". It matches the Rfam family "Bacterial small subunit ribosomal RNA", at positions 524 to 776 of the family's 1533-position model. The record is from RNAcentral.